UAUGCACCCAAACCCAAAGGUCAUGUCUAUUUAAUGAUAUGAUUUUGUCUGGUGUGCAAAUAGUAAAUUGUUCCUUGUCGCCUUUCUCUGUUGCUACUUCUGUGCCUUUGAAAGUGAAUUCAAGGAUCAACAUAA
This 135-nucleotide small nucleolar RNA is filed under the name Neogobius melanostomus (round goby). RNAcentral's name for it is "Small nucleolar RNA SNORA68 (ENSNMLG00000025478.1)". It matches the Rfam family "Small nucleolar RNA SNORA68". From Rfam's summary of the family: U68 is a member of the H/ACA class of small nucleolar RNAs (snoRNAs) which act as guides in the the modification of uridines to pseudouridines. Lineage: Eukaryota; Metazoa; Chordata; Actinopteri; Gobiiformes; Gobiidae. The record is from Rfam by way of RNAcentral.